UACGAAGGGGGGCUAGCGUUGCUCGGAAUCACUGGGCGUAAAGGGUGCGUAGGCGGGUUUUUAAGUCAGAGGUGAAAUCCUGGAGCUCAACUCCAGAACUGCCUUUGAUACUGAAAGUCUUGAGUAUGGGAGAGGUGAGUGGAACUGCGAGUGUAGAGGUGAAAUUCGUAGAUAUUCGCAAGAACACCAGUGGCGAAGGCGGCUCACUGGCCCAUUACUGACGCUGAGGCACGAAAGCGUGGGGGAGCAAACAGG
RNAcentral lists this ribosomal RNA (255 nucleotides) under uncultured bacterium. RNAcentral describes it as "partial 16S ribosomal RNA". It matches the Rfam family "Bacterial small subunit ribosomal RNA", at positions 524 to 776 of the family's 1533-position model. The record is from RNAcentral.